Molecule: ribosomal RNA, 429 nt
Filed under: Chloroflexota bacterium
Lineage: Bacteria; Bacillati; Chloroflexota
Description: Chloroflexi bacterium partial 16S ribosomal RNA
Rfam family: Bacterial small subunit ribosomal RNA
Source: RNAcentral
UGGGGAAUAUUGCACAAUGGGCGCAAGCCUGAUGCAGCCAUGCCGCGUGUAUGAAGAAGGCCUUCGGGUUGUAAAGUACUUUCAGUCGGGAGGAAGGUGGUAAGGUUAAUAACCUUAUCAAUUGACGUUACCGACAGAAGAAGCACCGGCUAACUCCGUGCCAGCAGCCGCGGUAAUACGGAGGGUGCAAGCGUUAAUCGGAAUUACUGGGCGUAAAGCGCACGCAGGCGGUUGAUUGAGUCAGAUGUGAAAUCCCCGGGCUUAACCCGGGAAUUGCAUCUGAUACUGGUCAGCUAGAGUCUUGUAGAGGGGGGUAGAAUUCCAUGUGUAGCGGUGAAAUGCGUAGAGAUCUGGAGGAAUACCGGUGGCGAAGGUGGCCCCCUGGACAAAGACUGACGCUCAGGUGCGAAAGCGUGGGGAGCAAACAGG